RNAcentral lists this ribosomal RNA (421 nucleotides) under uncultured bacterium. RNAcentral describes it as "partial 16S ribosomal RNA". It matches the Rfam family "Bacterial small subunit ribosomal RNA", at positions 362 to 775 of the family's 1533-position model. The record is from RNAcentral.
UUUUGGACAAUGGGCGCAAGCCUGAUCCAGCCAUGCCGCGUGAGUGAAGAAGGCCGUCUGGUUGUAAAGCUCUUUCGGACGGAAAGAAAUCGCGCAGGCUAAUACCCUGCGCGGCUGACGGUCCCGGUACAACAAGCAGCCGCGAACUACGUGCCACCCGCCGCGGUAAUACGUAGGGUGCGAGCGUUAAUCGGAAUUACUGGUCGUAAAGCGUGCGCAGGCGGUUGAUUAAGACAGGCGUGAAAUCCCCGGGCUUAACCUGGGAACUGCGCUUGUGACUGGUCAGCUAGAGUACGGCAGAGGGGGGUGGAAUUCCACGUGUAGCAGUGAAAUGCGUAGAGAUGUGGAGGAACACCGAUGGCGAAGGCAGCCCCCUGGGCCGAUACUGACGCUCAUGCACGAAAGCGUGGGUAGCAAACAG